RNAcentral lists this long non-coding RNA (6562 nucleotides) under Homo sapiens (human). RNAcentral's name for it is "HSALNT0081993". The record is from RNAcentral. Lineage: Eukaryota; Metazoa; Chordata; Mammalia; Primates; Hominidae.
GUAAGAGCAGAACGUUGCAGAGUGUGCAGGCUGGAGUGUGUGCUAAGGCUCUGUGUGCUGAUUACUCCUUGUGUGUCUCAUUGCUUACAGGAUUUUUUUUUUUGAGACAGGGUCUCACUGUGUCACCCAGGCUGGAGUGCAGUGGUGUGAACAUAGCUCACUGCAGCCUCGGACUCCUGACCUCAAGCAAUCCUCCCGCCUUAGCCUUCCAGGUGCUUGAGAUGAGAAACAGACUUUUUUUCCUUUGAGAAUUCAUUAUUUCUCCCCUUGGGCUGUUUGUUCAAACCCACACAGGAGCAGGAACAUUGCUUUCGAUUGCCAAAGAAAUGACAUAAUGAUGCCAAUGAUUAAAAUGUCAAGAACACAGUGUCUUGGGCUGAGAUGGUAAAGGCAGCAUUCAGGCAGUGAUGAUCUGGGGUGAUAGGAGUGGCUGUGGGGAGACGGAGGCCUCCCUUCUUGUAGGAUGGGACUCGGUCUUUCCUCUGCCUCAUUGCUAUUAUUGUCUUGUUUUAUUUUUGCUUUUGUUUGUUUGGGUAGGUGAAAAGGCAGGUCGGGUGAAGAAGAGCAGGAUGUUUCAUUUUUAUCAAGCAUCACCUGAUUCAAAAUGUAGCCACUGAAAAGAAGCCAUCGUUUUUGGCCUGCGUCUCUGAGGAUAAGAUAGUGCGUGGGUGAUGGAUGCAGCCCAGGUGGGAGCUGUCUGCAAAUAACCCAGCUGCUUCCUGUGGCCCUGGUCAUCCUGCUGCCCUCAGCUUCUCCCACGGAGGCCACCUGCCCCCCUAACACUGAGCUGCUCACCUAGUCCAGCCACCAGCGACGGCCCCUGGCCUUUGACGUGUCUGUUCUCUCCUCUCUCACUCCACCACCACUAGCUUCCAGGGAUCUCCAGCCUGUAUAGAAACUUCUCACUACGCUCUGCUCUCGCCCUUUUAGCAGUCUCCUUAUGCUGCUGACUCCACCUCCCAGGCAAAUCAUUCUAAUUUAAUUCUUUACAAGUAUUCUCCCUCCUGGAGUGCUGGGCUCCACCACGGGGGCAAUCAAGGCACAUCACCCACAGCUUUCCAGACACCCACAGCCUUCCUGUCCUGCUGUGAGCGUGGCUCCUUCAGCCUUCUUCCUUCUUCGCCUGUGGGGAGUCAGACAUUCGCCAACCUCGUGCUCAAUCCCUGCCUCUGUCCAGGCCUGCUAAGCCCAUAAGACAUAUCUGCAUGUGUCAGAAUAUGUGCAAGCUUUCGACAGGAUCCCCGUUUCUCCCCAUGGAGCUUUUGGCAAAUGAAGGGUGUGGUUCAGCAGCUGGUCUGAUGUCCCUUAAGCUCCCCCACACCAGCACACCAGGACUGUCUCUGUCUCCACAUUCCAGCAUAUCUGGGUCUCAGCUUUGACACAAUCAGACACUGUUGCUGAAGUUUUUAUGUUUAUAUGACAGAAGAAACUGUCACCCCUCCCCUGCCCCCCGCCCCCACCCACCUGUUAUAAGAAAGAGCUCCAAGGUCUUGAGACCACACGCAGGGGAUGGGAAAGCUGACAUUAAAGGGGAAUGAGGUCUUUCUGUGAUUCCAGCAGCCUCAGGAGGACAACGUCAGAAACCAAAAGCUCCUCUGCCCAGGGAUGGGGACCCGCCGACUUCAAGGGCAGAACAGGUGCCUGGCUAGUGGGGGAGUUCCCCAAUGUGGAUUUAAACUGUAGUGUCUUCAGAGAACAUAACCAACAUUUGUCUUUAGGAGAUGUGUUUGUUUGAGUAGAUCAGCUAUGAAAAUACCCAGCCGGCCUGCAGCCCUCCCGGCAGAUGCUGAAAAGGAAACCCGACUGGGAGAUGCCGCCCACCCUUAUCCCCAGAGAGCUGCGUUGUUUCCUCUUGCCUUGGCCUUUGGAUCCGGCCAUAGCAAGCAUCCCUGGGCACCUGGCUGAAGCUGGAAACUCGGGAUAAGAAUGGAAGCCCUGGAAGGGAAGAAGAACCGAGGAGAGGACAGCACAUUGCACUCUCACCUCCUUUGCAGUUAAGUGUGAAAUAGUGCCAAUAGAGUGUAAAAGAAAAGAAAGAAGAUGAUUCACCUCCCAAAGAUUCCCCACUGCUGUGUCCCUUCUAUCAACUUGAUACAAAAAAACACAAUGGCCCCGGGAACCACGUGUUGAAGAUGAGAGAGCUAAAAGAUGGAAAGAGACUGGAGCCCUGAGUCACCACCUGGAGGAAAACUACCCACCCAUCAGGAAUUUCUACUACACAUUUGGGAGUUUUUGGGGUUACAGCAGCUAAUUUAACGAAAACACCCAGAGACAAGAGCUAUUACUGCACAAAUUGGUUAAGUUACCUUUUUGUAUGUUUGGGUCCUCUCUAUUCGAUGAGACUGCGCGUUCCUUUGAAGCAAAUCUGUUUAAAAUUCUUAUAUCCCCAGAGGGCCUAGCAGAGAGUAUGCACAGAGUGAGCCUUCAGUAAAUGCUGAGUAAAUAAGCUCCUAAUGGAUGAAACUGUGUCUUCGAAGUUUGUUCUGACCAGUACUUAGUAUAGGAUUUUGUGCUGUUGGUCACUUUUCAUAAAGGUUCUUGCUAUUAAGGAACUUGACAUCCAAUGUACUCAUAGAAAGUAGAAAUUCAGGGGAAACAAAUAGAAGAGAUAUGUCCAAAAAUCCAUUUAAAAUUUCAUUGACAGAUAUUUAUCUCUUUAAUCCUGGAAGUUGUUUCAUGUAAGGGAAGGUUCAGUAGAAUGAAAACAGGACUGUAAGCUGGGAGGAGAUUUGGGGUCUCUUGGCCAACUCUGCCACAAAUUGUGUUACCUUCAACUUCCCUGCCUGUAAAAUGAAGUCAGUGGUCCCUAAAAUGAAAUUGGACUAAUGGCAAAUUAGCUAGCAUUUGAUUAUACAUCGAUAGUUUCCCCAUGUGAUUUUAACGCACAAAUCAGAUUUUGGAACCAUUAGGUAGGUGAUCUUAUCUUAUGAGUUUAUCUUUUUCAACAUGGAAAAAUAAAUUUGUUUUGCUGACCGAAGGCUGUGUAACUUAGAACUGGAAAGAGACAUGUAAUUGAAUAACCCAUCUCUAUGGGGCAAAAAAAUGAAACACCUUUAGUUUGUUCAAAGAUGAAAUGGAAAAAUAAACAUGUUUUAAGAUGACUUGGUAGAGAAAAUAUUUUCUUUGCCAGGAUAUUAGAGAAUUUGUCAAAAGUUAUUACACAGGAAAGUCAAAGGUUUCAUUGCAGGAACUUAAUAAAUAUUUGUUUAUUAGCUGAUUAAUGUGCUGAUCCAAGCAGAGAAGGAAUCCUGUCUUUGUUUUAAAGUCAGGAUUUCUAAUUUCCCUUUCAGGAUAAAAAUGUGCUCUGUGUUCAGCUAAGCAACCUAAACUGUCUAUUCCAUUAUUCAAACAAACACCAAAAAGGAUUGAAUGUAUCCUCUGGCAACCAAAGAUAAUACUCCCAGGUCAAGCUUCUUUCAGGCAGAUAUUAAUGGUUACUUUUAGUUAUUGAAAAAUAUUGCAUAAUUCAUGCGCUGUGCUUGACGAAGCAGAUCCCACUCUGGGGCCCUCAGGAAUUUGAGGCAGAAUUCCCUACUCUUUGAGGGUGUCUUCAUUCCCCACCCUGGGUGUUUAUCAUGCCUCUGAGUGAAACCCAUAGGAUGACAAUGGCAUAGCUUUUCAAAAAAGAAAUCAUCCAAAGUCCUUUCUAAAGUGCAGAAGUCAGAACUAUUGAUUCUGAAAUUGAGCCAUUUCCAGUGGUACCAAAGAAGUGGUAUAUUAUAGAAUUAGAAUAUGUCUUCUAUUCAGCACAUUCCAAAUCACUCUCUAUUCAAACAUACUCAAAAUGUAUUUUUAUUCAACAUAUUCAAAAUGUUCAUCCUUCAAAAAGUGCUUCCCCCAUUAGCCAGCCCCCUGCAAGUCAGUUGUUCCCACCUUUAUUCCACUGAUAUGGAGGUCAUUUGAAUGCUGUUUGCUCUGUUAAGAUGCUGUCAUUUGAACAAUACACUCACAUUUCAGGCAAAUUUGAAUCAUGCAAAUUUUAAAUAAUGCUAUGUAAAAUAGCAAUAAAAUACUACUGGAGAUUGCUCAAUUUCAGAAUGGGCAACAUUUGAAAUAGUCCAAAUUCCUCCAAAUUUGCAUGAUUUAUCCAGAAUGGCAUAACAAAUCCAGAGCACAGCCAGUGAAACUUACGCUGUGUUUGGACCCUGGUCUGGUGGCUGUGCCACAGUUGCGGUAAACAGAAACCUCCACAGGGAAACCUCCACAGGCCUUGGUCAGUGUGAUGGGGAGUAGUACAAUGAAUCAAAGCAGAUGUUUUCCUGAGUGAUUUUUGUGGCUAUAGUGCUGGGGUUUUUUUGUUUUUUUUUUUUUUUCAUUGUGUUAAUAAUUUAAUAUCUUUUCUAUCCUAUGAAAGUAUCAUGUAAGCUUUUAUAAUAUAGUGGCACUGAAAACGUGCUGUAAAUUAUGAUCCAUUCAGUAUGACAGGGGAAUGGUUCCAGGACCCCCGGCACCUUCCACCCCAGGAUACCAACAUCUGUGAUGCUCAACUAACUGAUAGAAAAUGGCCUAGGAUUUGCAUAGAACCUACUUACGUCUUCCUGUAUACAUUUUUUUUUUUUUGAGACGGAGUCUAGCUCUGUCUCCCAGGCUGGAGUGCAAUGGCACGAUCUCAGUUCACUGCAGCCUCCACCUUCCAGGUUCAAGCAAUUCUCCUGUCUCAGCCUCCCAAGUAGCUGGGAUUACAGGCACAUGCCACCACACCCAGCUAUUUUUUUUCUAUUUUUAGUAGAGACUGGUUUCACCAUGUUGGCCAGACUUAUCUCGAACUCCUGACCUCAAGUGACCCACCCAUCUCGGCCUCCCAAAGUGCUGGAGUUACAGGCAUGAGCUACCAUGCCCAGCCCCUUCCCAUAUACUUUAAAUCAACUCUAAAUUACUUAUAAUAUCUAAUGCAAUAUAAAUCCUAUGUAUAUAGUUGUUAUACUGUUUGGCGUAGGGAAUAAUGGCAAGAAAAAGCCUGUACAUGUUCAGUACAGACACAACCAUCUUUUUUUGUUUGCUUCCUGAAUACUUUCCAUCCAUGGUUAGUUGAAUCUGAGAAUGUUGAACCCCUGGAUUCCGAGGGCCAACUGUGGUAUGAAGUGACAUUAGAUGUGAUAGACGAAGAAGGCCUGUCACUGGCCGUGAUCCAUUGGGCCAUUAAUUUGGGAGAAAGACUCUGCAACAUAAAAGAGAUUCUGCUAGGAAGUGUUUUGAAGCAUCUUUAAAGCAAGGAUACCAUGAAUCUAGAUGUAGGCACUCUGAGAACAUACUCCCUUCCUGUCUUAUGAUUAUCUAUAGGAAAAUUAGACUUAGAUUAGGCACAUCUUGGAUGAUGCCUUUCUUCCGGAACGUGGCUACCUUUAAAUAUUUUCAUGUGAAUAUAGUGCACGUGCUUCCUAGAUUGUAAUCUCCUCGGAAGGAAGCAGAAACCAUCUGUUGUUUUUAUAUCCCACACUCCAGCUAGCUAACGACAAUAAUGGUGACAUUGUGACAGCAGUUUACUGUUUACAAAGUGCUUCUGUCUCAGUUCACCCUUGUGAUGACACUGCAAGGUGAGUUUUCUUGGUUUCUAAGUUUGACAGGCCAGGACCCAGAAGUGUAGAGAGAGUCAUUGAUUUGUCUGGGUCACUCGGCAACAAGUGGUGGGUAAGAAACUGGAGAAUGGGAAGCUGCAGGCAUGGGAUGGGAAGCUACAGGCAUGGGAUGGGAAGCUGCAGGCAUGAGAUGGGAAGCUGCAGGAAUGGGAUGGGAAGCUACAGGCAUCCGAAUGGGAAGCUGCAGGCAUGGGAUGGGAAGCUGCAGGCAUCCGAAUGGGAAGCUGCAGGCAUGGAAUGGAAGCUACAGGCAUCUGAAUGGACUUCUUGCAUCUGUCUCCCUUUGAAACCCUGCAUCUGAUUCCGUCUUCCGGGUACAGGCAUGUCUGGCAACACGGAGGAUGAACACCUCUCACCCUGCCUCCCUGCUGCAUGAUCUUUGACUGUGGUCCCUCACUCGUUCCUCAGAGCAUCAGUUCAUCAGGGGGACUCAUCUGGGGCUGGCUGGUGAGGAAGAAGGGUCCCUGGUGUGCACUGAUGUUCACUGCGUGGAAAUGUGUCCCUUGGGAUGGAGAAAAGUGGAGGGGCACACUCCAUAUCAAAGCAGAACUGUCAUAGCUGCCAGUCCCGGAGAAAGCAGCAGAAAAAGCCAGGGGACCGGCCACGUUCUAUUUCCAGCCAUAAUGAGUCAUGAGAUCGUGGAAAGGCCCUUUAACCUCUCCAGCCUUAAUUUCCUCAUUUGUAAAAUAAGAACAACACUUGUCUAAGCCACCUCACAAGACAGUUGUGAAUGAUGGGAAUGGUUUCUUUCUAACGUAUGUCACGCUUGGGCAGGGCUGCCCUGGGACCUCCGGUGAGCCUGCUGCAGGAGAGAAGCCUCCCCCCACCAUGUGAACACACCCUCCCCACCCAGCCCCCACACUCCCUGGCUGGCACACACGGGACUUCAUUAUUAUUGUUGUUUUAAAAAAUGAAUUUGGCAUUUUGCAUUUGAAGAAUAAAUAACAAAUAUUCUAGCUAGUCAAAUAAACUGAAAUACAUAUUUA